Molecule: ribosomal RNA, 495 nt
Filed under: Triticum aestivum (bread wheat)
Lineage: Eukaryota; Viridiplantae; Streptophyta; Magnoliopsida; Poales; Poaceae
Description: partial small subunit ribosomal RNA
Source: RNAcentral
AUGGACACGCUCGCCCCGGCCAUCUGGCGGAACUACGCCCCAAAUAAGUGUCGACUCUACCUCUGGCUUGCCCGCAAGGACCGCCUCUUCACGAAUGAACGACGGUUCAGACAGGGCAUUGCUACUUCAGCCGCAUGCCCCUUCUGCGACCACUGUGAAUCCAUCAACCACCUCCUUUUCGAAUGUCAGCACAUAGCUCCACUUUGGGGGGAGCUAGACAGCCUAUGUCCGGAUGCGCCACAGGGGCUGCUCCAAGCUUGGGAGGGCGAAUGGCACAACAAAACUAGAUCAACAGUUCUGCUGGCAGUUCUUUGGAAUAUCUGGAAGCGACGGAACGCCAAGGUCUUUCGAGACAUGCAUCUUGGGCUUCAUGACGUCGUAAGCUCCGCUGCGGAAGAUCUUAAACUUUGGUCCCACCGUUGUAAUAAUAUUCAAAAACAAAUUCAACUCAGGGACUGGGGCUCCAUGUUGUUCCACCUUGCCGGGAGAAUUUAG